CAGCCAGACUCCUACGGGAGGCAGCAGUAGGGAAUAUUGCUCAAUGGGGGAAACCCUGAAGCAGCAACGCCGCGUGGAGGAUGAAGGUUUUAGGAUUGUAAACUCCUUUUGUUAGAGAAGAUUAUGACGGUAUCUAACGAAUAAGCAUCGGCUAACUCCGUGCCAGCAGCCGCGGUAAUACGGAGGAUGCGAGCGUUAUCCGGAUUUAUUGGGUUUAAAGGGUGCGUAGGCGGGCUGUUAAGUCAGCGAUAAAAGCCGGGGCCACACCCCCGGCGAGCCGUUGAAACUGGCUGUCUUGAGAUGUCGAGAGGUAUGCGGAAUGCGCAGUGUAGCGGUGAAAUGCUUAGAUAUUGCGCAGAACUCCGAUUGCGAAGGCAGCAUACCGGCGGCGAUCUGACGCUGAGGCACGAAAGCGUGGGUAUCGAACAGGAUUAGAUACCCGCGUAC
This 447-nucleotide ribosomal RNA is filed under the name uncultured bacterium. Its description in RNAcentral is "bacterial SSU rRNA". It matches the Rfam family "Bacterial small subunit ribosomal RNA", at positions 328 to 793 of the family's 1533-position model. The record is from RNAcentral.